RNAcentral lists this transfer RNA (85 nucleotides) under uncultured archaeon. Its description in RNAcentral is "tRNA-Asn(gtt)". It matches the Rfam family "tRNA". Rfam says of the family: Transfer RNA (tRNA) molecules are approximately 80 nucleotides in length. The record is from RNAcentral.
UCCUGGGUGGCCGAAUGGUAAGGCAGCGGACUGUUAAUCCGCCGGGGGAAACCCUGUGUAGGUUCGAUUCCUACCCCAGGAGCCA